RNAcentral lists this ribosomal RNA (255 nucleotides) under uncultured bacterium. RNAcentral's name for it is "partial 16S ribosomal RNA". It matches the Rfam family "Bacterial small subunit ribosomal RNA", at positions 526 to 779 of the family's 1533-position model. The record is from RNAcentral.
CGUAGGGUGCGAGCGUUAAUCGGAAUUACUGGGCGUAAAGCGGGCGCAGACGGUUACUUAAGCAGGAUGUGAAAUCCCCGGGCUCAACCUGGGAACUGCGUUCUGAACUGGGUGACUAGAGUGUGUCAGAGGGAGGUAGAAUUCCACGUGUAGCAGUGAAAUGCGUAGAGAUGUGGAGGAAUACCGAUGGCGAAGGCAGCCUCCUGGGAUAACACUGACGUUCAUGCCCGAAAGCGUGGGGUAGCAAACAGGAUU